CAGCCGCCGCGGUAAAACCAGCACCUCGAGUGGUCAGGAUGAUUAUUGGGCCUAAAGCAUCCGUAGCCGGCUCUGUAAGUUUUCGGUUAAAUCUGUACGCUCAACGUACAGGCUGCCGGGAAUACUGCAGAGCUAGGGAGUGGGAGAGGUAGACGGUACUCGGUAGGAAGGGGUAAAAUCCUUUGAUCUAUUGAUGACCACCUGUGGCGAAGGCGGUCUACCAGAACACGUCCGACGGUGAGGGAUGAAAGCUGGGGGAGCAAACCGGAUUAGAUACCCGGGUAGUCCCAGCUGUAGACUAUGCAAACUCAGUGAUGCAUUGGCUUGUGGCCAAUGCAGUGCUGCAGGGAAGCCGUUAAGUUUGCCGCCUGGGAAGUACGUACGCAAGUAUGAAACUUAAAGGAAUUGGCGGGGGAGCAC
This 420-nucleotide ribosomal RNA is filed under the name uncultured Nitrososphaerota archaeon. RNAcentral's name for it is "bacterial SSU rRNA". It matches the Rfam family "Archaeal small subunit ribosomal RNA", at positions 459 to 879 of the family's 1478-position model. The record is from RNAcentral. Lineage: Archaea; Thermoproteati; Nitrososphaerota.